UGGCAAAACGCAAAGGGACUUGUA
Molecule: non-coding RNA, 24 nt
Filed under: Mus musculus (house mouse)
Lineage: Eukaryota; Metazoa; Chordata; Mammalia; Rodentia; Muridae
Source: RNAcentral